Molecule: ribosomal RNA, 415 nt
Filed under: uncultured beta proteobacterium
Lineage: Bacteria; Pseudomonadati; Pseudomonadota; Betaproteobacteria
Description: bacterial SSU rRNA
Rfam family: Bacterial small subunit ribosomal RNA
Source: RNAcentral
UGUGCCAGCCGCCGCGGUAAUACGUAGGGUGCGAGCGUUAAUCGGAAUUACUGGGCGUAAAGCGUGCGCAGGCGGUUAUGUAAGACAGAUGUGAAAUCCCCGGGCUCAACCUGGGAACUGCAUUUGUGACUGCAUGGCUAGAGUACGGUAGAGGGGGAUGGGAUUCCGCGUGUAGCAGUGAAAUGCGUAGAUAUGCGGAGGAACACCGAUGGCGAAGGCAAUCCCCUGGACCUGUACUGACGCUCAUGCACGAAAGCGUGGGGAGCAAACAGGAUUAGAUACCCUGGUAGUCCACGCCCUAAACGAUGUCAACUGGUUGUUGGGAAUUAGUUUUCUCAGUAACGAAGCUAACGCGUGAAGUUGACCGCCUGGGGAGUACGGCCGCAAGGUUGAAACUCAAAGAAAUUGACGAAGG